AGCCUUAGUAAUAUUAAUUUUUAAAAAGUUGUUUAGCUACAUUCUUCCGAUGACUAGCAUAAUGACUGCAUAAGACAGAGAGAGAGGGCGAGCAGAGACAGUGUGUGUCAGCCUGUAGGAAGUUAGGACCAUAAAGGAAGUGGGGAGGGGUCUAGCAAAGACAGCAUCAUCAUCUCUGAGGACUCCUGGAAUGGUUCAGGGCAGUUCAGUUGGACACAAGUUUGCCUCGGAGUGUUUUCCUUUUGUCAAUAAUUAAUCACUGGAAUCAACCUGGCAAGACUGGAGUUUUAACAACAGUGCAGAGGGUGAGUCAGAAGAAACACCUCGGGCUGAUAAAUCCAUCGGUAACUCCAAGCAGCAGGAAGCCAGUGUCCACACUGCUCAUCAGCCCACAGGGUCAUCCACUCCGAACAAGAGAAUUGUCCCUUAAGAAAAUAUGUACCUAUGAAUACAUGGAAAUCCUAGUGAGAGACAGCUUGGCAUCAGGAUGGAGGUACCCUCAACAGUAACUAGGUUUGAAUCCCAUCUUUGACAGCUGUGACAUCAAGGGUCCA
Molecule: long non-coding RNA, 554 nt
Filed under: Vombatus ursinus (common wombat)
Lineage: Eukaryota; Metazoa; Chordata; Mammalia; Diprotodontia; Vombatidae
Description: lncRNA (ENSVURG00010013671.1)
Source: RNAcentral